RNAcentral lists this ribosomal RNA (45 nucleotides) under Muraltia oxysepala. RNAcentral describes it as "partial 26S ribosomal RNA". The record is from RNAcentral. Lineage: Eukaryota; Viridiplantae; Streptophyta; Magnoliopsida; Fabales; Polygalaceae.
ACGCGACCCCAGGUCAGGCGGGAUCACCCGCUGAGUUUAAGCAUA